UACAUGCUAGUCGAGCGUCUUCAGGCUAUGUUGAGGACGCGGCGUACGGCUCAGUAACACGUGGCCAACCUACCCUUAGGACGGAGACAACCCCGGGAAACUGGGGCUAAUCCCCGAUAGGGGAGGACGCCUGGAAUGGUCUCUCACCCAAAGGACGUUGAAGCCUUGCUUUUCGGCGUUGCCUAAGGAUGGAGCCGCGGCCGAUCAGGUUGUUGGUGAGGUAAUGGCUCUCCAAGCCUAUAACCGGUUCGGGCCAUGAGAGUGGGAGCCCGGACAUGGGCACU
Molecule: ribosomal RNA, 284 nt
Filed under: uncultured archaeon
Lineage: Archaea
Description: partial 16S ribosomal RNA
Rfam family: Archaeal small subunit ribosomal RNA
Source: RNAcentral